UACAGAGGUCUCAAGCGUUGUUCGGAUUCAUUGGGCGUAAAGGGUGCGUAGGCGGCGCGGUAAGUCGGGUGUGAAAUCUUGGAGCUUAACUCCGAAACUGCACUUGAUACUACUAUGCUAGAGGGUUGUAGAGGAGACCGGAAUUCACGGUGUAGCAGUGAAAUGCGUAGAUAUCGUGAGGAAGACCAGUUGCGAAAGCGGGUCUCUGGGCAAUUCCUGACGCUGAGGCACGAAGGCUAGGGGAGCAAACGGG
RNAcentral lists this ribosomal RNA (253 nucleotides) under uncultured bacterium. Its description in RNAcentral is "partial 16S ribosomal RNA". It matches the Rfam family "Bacterial small subunit ribosomal RNA", at positions 524 to 776 of the family's 1533-position model. The record is from RNAcentral.